This 644-nucleotide ribosomal RNA is filed under the name uncultured bacterium. RNAcentral describes it as "bacterial SSU rRNA". It matches the Rfam family "Bacterial small subunit ribosomal RNA", at positions 62 to 700 of the family's 1533-position model. The record is from RNAcentral.
UCGAGGGGCAGCACAGGUAGCAAUACCGGGUGGCGACCGGCGCACGGGUGAGUAACGCGUAUGCAACUUACCUAUCAGAGGGGGAUAACCCGGCGAAAGUCGGACUAAUACCGCAUGAAGCAGGGGCCCCGCAUGGGGAUAUUUGCUAAAGAUUCAUCGCUGAUAGAUAGGCAUGCGUUCCAUUAGGCAGUUGGCGGGGUAACGGCCCACCAAACCGACGAUGGAUAGGGGUUCUGAGAGGAAGGUCCCCCACAUUGGUACUGAGACACGGACCAAACUCCUACGGGAGGCAGCAGUGAGGAAUAUUGGUCAAUGGCCGAGAGGCUGAACCAGCCAAGUCGCGUGAGGGAUGAAGGUUCUAUGGAUCGUAAACCUCUUUUAUAAGGGAAUAAAGUGCGGGACGUGUCCCGUUUUGUAUGUACCUUAUGAAUAAGGAUCGGCUAACUCCGUGCCAGCAGCCGCGGUAAUACGGAGGAUCCGAGCGUUAUCCGGAUUUAUUGGGUUUAAAGGGUGCGUAGGCGGCCUUUUAAGUCAGCGGUGAAAGUCUGUGGCUCAACCAUAGAAUUGCCGUUGAAACUGGGGGGCUUGAGUAUGUUUGAGGCAGGCGGAAUGCGUGGUGUAGCGGUGAAAUGCAUAGAUAUCAC